GUUAUUGUGGUGUAAGGUUAACACAUUACAUUUUCGUUGUAGGGAUAAAGAAUUGUCUUUUAAUAAUG
Molecule: transfer RNA, 68 nt
Filed under: Alpheus lobidens
Lineage: Eukaryota; Metazoa; Arthropoda; Malacostraca; Decapoda; Alpheidae
Description: tRNA-Glu
Rfam family: tRNA
About the family: Transfer RNA (tRNA) molecules are approximately 80 nucleotides in length.
Source: RNAcentral